UACGGAGGGUGCAAGCGUUAUCCGGAUUUACUGGGUUUAAAGGGUGUGUAGGCGGCCUUUUAAGUCAGCGGUGAAAUCUCCGGGCUCAACCCGGAAACUGCCAUUGAUACUAUUAGUCUUGAAUGUUGUUGAGGUGGGCGGAACGGGUCAUGUAGCGGUGAAAUGCAUAGAUAUGACCCGGAACACCGAUUGCGAAGGCAGCCCACUAAGCAACUAUUGACGCUGAGGCACGAAAGCGUGGGGAUCAAACAGG
Molecule: ribosomal RNA, 253 nt
Filed under: uncultured bacterium
Lineage: Bacteria
Description: partial 16S ribosomal RNA
Rfam family: Bacterial small subunit ribosomal RNA
Source: RNAcentral